Molecule: ribosomal RNA, 293 nt
Filed under: uncultured bacterium
Lineage: Bacteria
Description: partial 16S ribosomal RNA
Rfam family: Archaeal small subunit ribosomal RNA
Source: RNAcentral
GUGCCAGCAGCCGCGGUAACACCAGCGCCACAAGUGGUCAUCGCGAUUAUUGGGCCUAAAGCGUUCGUAGCCGGUUUGGUAAAUCUCUUGUGAAAUUGUUCGGCUUAACCGGACAGCGUGCAGGGGACACUGCCGAACUCGAGACCGGGAGGGGUCAGAGGUAUUCCGUGGGGACCGGUAAAAUGGGAUAAUCCACGGAGGACCACCGAUGGCGAAGGCAUCUGACCAGAACGGAUCUGACGGUGAGGAACGAAAGCCAGGGGAGCGAACCGGAUUAGAAACCCCGGUAGUCC